UGGGUUUAUUUAAUUAUUCUUUAUUUUAUAAUUAUUAUCAUUUUUUGCUUCAUGCAGGAAGUCCAGAGCAGGUGGUGGUUCUGAGACAAGUUAUAUCUGAGUUCACUUUGAAGUUCUCUUCAUCUCCUACUUUGUGGUCCCUCAGUGGUUGCUGCAGCUCCUGUCAACACAUCUCUAACCCAGGGCUGGGCCCCACUUCUGGACUUGGGAGAGAAAUCAGUGCAGGGAGUGGGGCUGGCCAUCUCCCUGACACUGCACAGGAUCUGAGCGCCCACUGAGAGCUCAGGAGGGGAGAGAAAAGGAGAGAUGGGAGAAAAGAGAAAAGGGAGAUGGGAGAUGGGAGGGGGUGGACGAAGAAUCUCCGCUCCUCUCUCCCGUGUGUGGACACCUACCUCCUGAGGCGCUCCUUCUGCUCGGCCAUCCUGGAGAAGACCCACGUGCUGAGUGAGCAUGUAUGUCCAGUGUCUUCCUGCGUUUCCGCAGAGCCAGCUAUGGAGCCAUGGCGGUGCAGUUCUUUUGAAGGUCCCUGGACGUCACCAAAUGGGGAACCAGGGGUAGAACUCCAGAAAGAUGCAGAUGAAGCACCAGAGGUCUGAGGCUUAUGGGGUAGAGUCCUCUUGGCUUCCGUCUGCAGACCUGGAUCAGAAGAGCUUCAAGGCGAGCUCUUCCUGGAGGAGCCUCAGCUCCUUGAGUGUUCCCAGGAAUCCCGGAGGAGAUGGGGGUAGGCACCUCUGAGAGCAGUCCUGUAUGCCCACCGUACCCUGCUGUGCUGUGCACUCUUCCUGCCUGAAUUUUUAGUUUCUAGAACUUUUAAAUUGUCUUUCUUAGGAUAAUGUGUAAAGAUGAAGAUUACUUAAGCUCCUCUCCAGUGUUUCAAAGUGAGAGGUAGGUAUACUGAGAACUUACAGGAAAAGAGAAAUAACGUUCUUCUAAAAAUAAGGCAUGGUAGCACUACCACUGUUCUCCAGUAAAUGGAAUCCUAAAUCCAACGAGGACCUAACGUUGGCUCAUAUGAGACCGGGUCCGGACAUAUUGGAAUAGUUAUAAUAUUUUACUUACUUUUUUCAUUAUUAUAAGUAUCCUGUUUGUAAGUUUUAUAAUAUAUUGAAAAGUAUUAAAAAAAUCACCAUAAUCUCACCAUAAGAUAACUGUGCUUAUUUUCUGUUCUUUCAGACGUUUUCAGUGUUAUAUGUGAGCAUCUGUAUAUACACACACAUAUUUUUAUAAAAACAUUAUCUUACUUUACAUAUUGCUUUCAGAUAAUGUGUAAAACUGUGUAGAACAGUUUUUUGUAAUGUGUAAAACCAGGAGUUGGUGAUGCACAGGGAAGCCUGGUGUGCUGCAGUCCAUGGGGUCACAAAGAGGCAGACACGACUGAGCGGCUGAACUGAACUGAAAACUGUGUAAUAUGUAAAACAUAUUGCUGUCUUUUUUCUCUUAACUUACUGUUGUCAUCUUUCCUUGUGAAUAAAUAUGUCUGUUUGUACA
Molecule: long non-coding RNA, 1488 nt
Filed under: Bos indicus x Bos taurus (hybrid cattle)
Lineage: Eukaryota; Metazoa; Chordata; Mammalia; Artiodactyla; Bovidae
Description: lncRNA (ENSBIXG00005021592.1)
Source: RNAcentral